UUUGCAAGGAGGCAGCAGGGAGUGCUUGAGCAGAGAGAUCCCCUUCCCUACCAAUGCAAUUUCAGAUAACAGCAGGUAAUUAGGGCAGCGGAGCUGUGGGAUCACUUACCCACCAAUGAGAAUUCAGAUCACAGUAGCUUUAUUCAUAAUUGCUCAAACUUGGAGGCAACGAAGAAACCAAAAUGUUCUUCACUAGUUCAGGUUCUUGUUACCCCACUCGAUUUCUUGAUGUGGUCACCUGAAUGUCCUUCGUGUUUCAGCCUCCUGGAAUCCUUCCUUCAUGACCCUGAAGAACUGCCCUCCAGACCCGCAGGGCUGGAGAUGAUGUUGACCAACGGCCUUGGGAGGAGGGGUUGCAGCUGAGUCCACACCCUCUCAAACUCCUUCAGACUGUUUUUGUAGACUACUUUACCAUUAACAACAAAUCCUAAGAUUUACUCAAUUAGUACAGCAGUCGUUGGCCAGAGUUCAAAUUUCUGAUUCGAAGGAAUCUGCACUCUGCCUGCCAGGAUCGACUAUUAAUGGCUUCGUCCGUAGAGGAGCUAUGUCUUUGCUCACUAGGGAAGAGUAUUGAGGCUUCGAAAGGGGUAUUUUGCUGGUCACCUCCUGGUCAUCCUUCUGCUCACCAAGAACAGAUACUGUUCUCAGCCCCUUACAUUGACAAGGUCGUUUAAUUCUCACAUAGCCCUUUCAGAUAGAUGCGACUAUUACCCCUCUUUUACAGAGGAGGAAAUCAAGAGGCAGAGGACAUAGGCGAAUUGUCCCAGAUCACAGAGCUGGCCACGGAGCUGGGACUUGCACCCGGCCAGCCUGGCUCCAGAGUUCCCUGCCCUCCUCCUGUACAGCACGUGUGACCUGCAGUAAUCACCGCCCAAACAGGCAGGCACUGCGGAUAGCCAAGCACACCUCUUCCGACUUCAGCAUGGAGGACGGUUCGUUUUCAUUCUGGUGUUCAGCUCGGGACUGUGUUUAUCACAAGGACGCACAACCCAGAAAGCUCAGUCACGUGACGUUGCCUUCUACGGUCAUGGUUUUCUACUUUUUGGCCCCAUUUUCCUGCCCACUUGGCCUGCUGGGACGUGAAUGAUACAUUACUACUACUACAGAAUGCAGCUCGCCAACUGUGAAGUUUCCAGGGUCCCUGGCCAGUCACUUGCGGAAGCCUCGCUCUCCAGGACCUCGGGAAAGAGGCACCCUACUCGAAUGCGUGCUUCUCCAGGAAUAUUUGCUCUGGUAAUAGCUGAGAAUAAAAGGCAUGUCUAACAGUUUGAUUGCAGAGACCUAGGAAGGGAAGGCUUAUAGCCGGCUUCUUCACAAUCCAACUGGAAGUAGGGUAGCCGGAUCCUGGCAUCCGUAUCUCCUGCUGGGUGAGGGUCACAGGAUCUCAGCGCCCAGGUGAGGCAACGAUGUUGAAAGAGGCUUCAGAAGAACUGGGCCAGAACAGUGGAAUCAAACGGAAAAGACUGGAAAUUCAAUCAGCUUGGGGAAUGACCAGAGAGCGUCUGUUGCCCAGCAAGGCUUGAAAACAGAGAUUCCCAGCAACAGGGCCAUAGCAAAGCUCUCUCAGCACACCUGCCCCGGACCAUCAGCUGAUGAGAGCUUGUGAUUGUGCCAUCCAAAGAGACGUAGCUAUUUGGUCUUCAGCUGGUUCUGGGCACAGAGCAUCUAAGACCCUUGGAAUCUUUCGAGUGGUCAGAGUGCCUUUGUGUAGUCGGGACAGGCCUGGGAGCUGGGGCGCCCUAGGCAGUUUCAGGGUGGUUCUCGGGUUCAGAAAGACCAAGGCAGGACUAGAGGGCUGGAGCUGUCAGUCUCCAAGCCAACCUCUGACCUGGAGGGAGAGGGCUGGAGAUGAGUCAAUCCCCACUAGCCAAAGAUGUCAUCAACCAUGUCUACAGUGACACCUCUAGAAAACCCUAAAUGGUGGGGUUGGAGAGCUUUCAGGUUGGGGAAAACCUUGACAUUCUGGGAGGGCAGCAUUCCCACUCCCCAGGGCCAGAAGCCC
Molecule: long non-coding RNA, 2002 nt
Organism: Macaca fascicularis (crab-eating macaque)
Lineage: Eukaryota; Metazoa; Chordata; Mammalia; Primates; Cercopithecidae
Source: Ensembl